This 633-nucleotide long non-coding RNA is filed under the name Vombatus ursinus (common wombat). RNAcentral's name for it is "lncRNA (ENSVURG00010019318.1)". The record is from RNAcentral. Lineage: Eukaryota; Metazoa; Chordata; Mammalia; Diprotodontia; Vombatidae.
UGCCCCCAUCACACCUAUUUUUAAAGUUUCAUCUCAAAAGCGAUUUUUUUAGCCUUCACCAUAAUCCUCCAGCCCUUGAGAGACCAAGGGACACAGACCCUAGCUGCUUUGCCCAUCCUUGGGUUAUGGGUUUAUCCCAGGAAGGGGCAGCCAGAACCUGGGGUAUCUCCUGCUCCUUCCCUGCCCCUGAGGUACUCCUGGCAAAGCAGAAGCAUCAGUCUGAUGGCUUAUCUUCUCCCCUGGCUCUUUUCCUUCCAGGCAUGGGAGAAGGCAAGAGAGCUUGGGUGGGUGGGCUGGCUCCUCUUCUCUUGCUCUUUCAGGGGAAGGGAGCAGCAGCCUAGCAGCCAGCCUCCUACCUGGUUCCUACGGACUGUGAGCAGCCCUCUCCCAUCCCCUCUGGAUCCUAACAUAGAGUCUGGACAUGCCUCCUGGGAAAGACUGAUGGUUUAUCUUAGCCCUUCCCCAGCACAGAGCAGGCCUCCAAAGCUGAGGAUAAGUGAGGCUACCUCUACGUCAUCUGGUCUUCCUCCUUGUAAAGGCAGCAGCAACAUGGUGGUCCUCCUCUGCCUUCUAGGCAUUGAUGGAGACAGGAGGAUGCUUCCCUUCCCAGGGGCAAAGCAAGAGAAGAACUAG